UACGUAGGGUGCAAGCGUUGUCCGGAAUUAUUGGGCGUAAAGAGCUUGUAGGCGGUUUGUCGCGUCUGCUGUGAAAUUUCGGGGCUCAACCCCGAACUUGCAGUGGGUACGGGCAGGCUAGAGUGUGGUAGGGGAGACUGGAAUUCCACGUGUAGCGGUGAAAUGCGUAGAUAUGUGGAGGAAUACCGAUGGCGAAGGCAGCCUCCUGGGCCAACACUGACGCUCAUGCACGAAAGCGUGGGGAGCAAACAGG
Molecule: ribosomal RNA, 253 nt
Filed under: uncultured bacterium
Lineage: Bacteria
Description: partial 16S ribosomal RNA
Rfam family: Bacterial small subunit ribosomal RNA
Source: RNAcentral